RNAcentral lists this ribosomal RNA (1397 nucleotides) under Oryza meyeriana. RNAcentral describes it as "bacterial LSU rRNA". It matches the Rfam family "Bacterial large subunit ribosomal RNA", at positions 933 to 2358 of the family's 2925-position model. Lineage: Eukaryota; Viridiplantae; Streptophyta; Magnoliopsida; Poales; Poaceae. The record is from RNAcentral.
ACCAGACCAAACCCAAUCAAACUCCGAAUGCCACGAACUGCUGUCCGGGAGACAGGCGUCGGGAGCUAAGUUCCGGCGCCGAGGGGGAAAGAGCCCAGACCGCCAGCUAAGGUCCCAAAAUUCACGCUAAGUGGUAAAGGAUGUGGGAGCGCAUAUUGACAACCAGGAAGUUGGCUUAGAAGCAGCCAUCCUUUAAAGAAAGCGUAAUAGCUCACUAGUCGAGACAAGCCGCGCCGAAAAUGUAACGGGGCUAAGCCUGAUACCGAAGCUACGGGUCAUUCAAGUUAAGACUUGAAUGGCGGUAGGGGAGCGUUGAAACUGCUGCGAAGCACGAUGGUAAUGGCGUGUGGAGCGGCUUCAAGUGCUGAUGCCGAAAUGAGUAGCGAUAAGGGAUGUGAGAAUCAUCCCCCCCGUAAACCUAAGGUUUCCUGGGUCAAGUCAAUCUUCCCAGGGUUAGCCGGAACCUAAGCCGAGCCCGAAAGGGGUAGGUGAUGGAAAGCAGGUUAAUAUUCCUGCGCCGGCUGUUAGGCGUUGAACUGAGGGGCGACGGAGAAAGUUAGUCGAGCUGGCGAGUGGUAGUGCCAGUCUAAGACCGUAGGGGUGUCUCGUACGAAUAAAGGCGGGACAGUCAUCUCUGAAAGUCGAAUGCGAGCGCGUCAGCGCAGAGUCGAUAAUACUAAGCUUCCAAGAAAAACCUCGCAGGGAGCCUGACGGUCGUCCGUACCGUAAACCGACACAGGUGGGUGAGGCGAAUAGCCUCAGGGGCCCGAGAGAACUCUCCUCCAAGGAACUAGGCAAAUUGACACCGUAACUUCGGAAGAAGGUGUGCCCACUUCGGUGGGCCGCAGAGAAUAGGGGGUAGCGACUGUUUACCAAAAACACAGGACUCUGCGAAGGCGAGAAGCCGACGUAUAGGGUCUGACUCCUGCCCGGUGCUGGAAGGUUAAGGGAAGCCCCGGUGAACGGCGGCCGUAACUAUAACGGUCCUAAGGUAGCGAAAUUCCUUGUCGGGUAAGUUCCGACCCGCACGAAUGGUGUAACGACUUGGGCACUGUCUCAACGAUGGACCCGGCGAAAUUGAACUAUGCGUGAAGAUGCGCAUUACCCGCAGCAGGACAAAAAGACCCCGUGGAGCUUUACUGUAGCCUGUCAUUGCGUUAGGGCAUGUUCUGUGUAGGAUAGCUGGGAGACAGCGAAACCUGGUCGCUAGAUUGGGUGGAGUCGCCGGUGAAAUACCAGCCUGAAGAUGUUUUGACCCUAACUUCGAACUACUGAAUCGUAGCGGAGGACAGUGGCAGGUGGGCAGUUUGACUGGGGCGGUCGCCUCCCAAAGAGUAACGGAGGCGCCCAAAGGUUACCCUCAGCACGAAUGGUAACCGUGCGCAGAGUGCAUUGGC